Molecule: RNA transcript, 2326 nt
Organism: Sphaerodactylus townsendi
Lineage: Eukaryota; Metazoa; Chordata; Lepidosauria; Squamata; Sphaerodactylidae
Gene: PEX26
Gene name: peroxisomal biogenesis factor 26
Exons: 6
Source: RefSeq, a predicted model, not a curated record
AAGAAGGAGGGGACGAUUUUUGUAGCCGGCUGUAUAGGAAGAUGCUGUUUAGGGGGAAAAGGAAGGACUCUUGGGUGCAUUUCGUAGGCUUUACAGCGAUAUAAAGUGCACCUCCCGCUUGCCUCGUGCUGUUGGUGUUGGGAUUUUAAACCUCCACUUGCGUACAGGCUGUUUCAAGCGCUUCUGUUAGCUAGGGGGGAGAGGCGGUGCGUGUUGCAAAGUCUACUCUAAACCAUUCUGCAUUGCAAAAAUUUAGAUUUCUUCCCCACUUUCUUCUUUUUUCAGCCGGCACAUGUAAUAUCAGCAGAGGAAAAAAGUAAAAUCCUCCCUUCCAACCCCGAUGAGAGAUAGCGUGCAUUGAAUUUACUAUCAAGGACUUCACAGGUGGAGCGGAGGUGGAGCGUUGAUUUGGGGGGACAGGGCACCUCCAUACCGGGAUCAUGAGGAACGACCUGUCUGUGGCUUUUUCCGGAUCCAGCGGGGCAGGCAGCGUCUUAAGGAGCAGCGAGCCAGCCUCUCUGUCUCCGGUGAUGUCCCAGGCCGCCUGCUUGCUGGAGGAAGCUGCAGAUCUAUUGGUGGUGCACAUGGACUUCUCUGCUGCUGUAGACCGGUGUGAGAAAGGCUGCGAAAGCCUCCUGGGUGAUCUGGAGAAUGAAGACUCUGCCAGCUCUGAAGAACUGAGAUGCUCCUUGUGCAUUGUGGGAAUCCAGGCCCUAGCUGAAAUGAACAGGUGGAGAGAAGUCCUCCCCUGGGUCCUCCAGUACUACCAAGUUCCUGCACACUUGCCUCCAAAAGUUCUUGAGCUGUGCAUCCUCCUCCAUAGCAAAGUGAAAGAGCCUCAUGUGAUGCGGGAUGUUGGGAGUGAUUGGUUACGUGCCUCAGCCAAUCAGCACUUGCCUGCUUACGGCCUCUUGGUUCAACUGCAUCUCUUCCACAUUCUCUUGCCACUCGGGCACUUUGCCGAGGCGCAGGAUCUGCUCGAAGGCUGUAAAGCAUUAAGCAAGGAAAAGUGGUUGGAGGCACAGAGGACAAUUAAAGAGAAGAGGCAGCAGUGGUCGCAGCAGUUGAGUGAACACCCAGAUCCCAAGGAGCAGGCAGGAAUGGCAUGGAAGACUCAGCUGGGUUUGGUGUCCCAGAAGGUGUUGACCAUCUUGGCGCAGCUGGGCAGACUACUGGGGUCCUUCGCCAGCCAGUUGGGCUCCAUCCCCUAUAAAAAGGCUCUCUUGGCUGCUUUCAUGUUGUUUCUCAUUGUUGUGAAACUUGAUCCAGCGUCUCCCACUUCCCUGCCCUUCCUCUACAGGCUCACCCAGCUAUUCCAUCAGGCCCGCUCAGCAGUGUCUCCCGCACACAACAGUGCCUCUUACCUCAGUGAUUAAACCCUGCUUCCUGAACGACAGAAAAGAGCUGGUUUGAGCAAUCCUGUCAGUGUGAGGCGGGAAGAUUACAAGCAUUACGGAAGCUCCUUCAAGUCUUUAAGAAUGUCAUCUGAUGGUGUAGCUGGCCUGAAGACAAUCUUCAGUGAUUUUUCCCCCUCCAAAUUGUACAUCACUUGAGGAGUCUAUGCUGUAACCCACGAGUUCAUCGUGGGCCUUCUAAAAUCUGUGUACUCUUCGAACACCCUACUUUGAAGCAUCUUCUCUUGAGAGCAGUGUUUUUCUCUCAAAUCUCUUUAAGGUCAAGAACAAGUUUCCUCUGCCCGCACUCCAUGUUUGGUUUAAUCCCAUCUCUUGGGAGACACCUCUGUCACUUUAUAGUUUUGUGACUUCUCCUAGUGGUGAGCUGGGAAACUUGUACUGUCCUUUCAAGAGUCGUGAGCUGUUUUGCUCCCUGGGGAAAUGAGCCUUGGGAACUGUCAGAUAUUUUCAGUCUCUCACUUUGGGUGAACAUCAAGCAAAGCAAGGUGUGUUUCGCCACGCUUUGAACAUUAAGAUUAUUAAGGUUGCCAAAAAACAUUUCUGCCACAGCUCCUGUGCCUUUAACAGUCUGCAGGUGUUAAGUAGGAAUUCAGCAGCUAGUCAUUUCAUGAAACAGAGCUGAUAAAAAUAAAAGAAUAAUCUUCAUCUGCUUUGUUUUUCUAUUGGUCCUACCAGGCACUUGAAGGGCACAAUAUUGCCAGAAAGAAAAGGUGACAGAUUGCCAGAAAGAAAAGGUGACACAUUGGUGGCCCUCCAUAAAUGAAUAACAAUAAAACCAGGUUGAUAAGAGGAACUAUUUUUCAUUUUGGGGGAAGGAUUUGUAAAGAUGUUAGUAUUUUUAAAUAGACAUUUUAAAGUAGUUAUUGCAACUCUCCAUUUAAUCUGUACAGUAAAGACAUUUUAUUUUUGAA